Molecule: ribosomal RNA, 465 nt
Filed under: uncultured bacterium
Lineage: Bacteria
Description: partial 16S ribosomal RNA
Rfam family: Bacterial small subunit ribosomal RNA
Source: RNAcentral
CCUACGGGAGGCUGCAGUGGGGAAUAUUGCGCAAUGGGCGAAAGCCUGACGCAGCGACGCCGCGUGAGGGAUGAAGGUCUUCGGAUCGUAAACCUCUGUCAGCAGGGAAGAACGGUCACUGUGCUAAUCAGCAGUGAAUUGACGGUACCCGCAAAGGAAGCACCGGCUAACUACGUGCCAGCAGCCGCGGUAAUACGGAGGGUGCGAGCGUUAAUCGGAAUUAAUGGGCGUAAAGCGGUCGUAGGCGGUAUGUGAAGUCAAGGGUGAAAUCCCCGGGCUCAACGUGGGAACUGCCUUUGAAACUGGGAAACUUGAGUGUGUGAGAGGAUAGUGGAAUUCCAGGUGUAGCGGUGAAAUCCGUAGAUAUCUGGAGGAACAUCAGUGGCGAAGGCGACUAUCUGGCACAUAACUGACGCUGAGGAGCGAAAGCGUGGGUAGCAAACAGGAUUAGAUACCCCUGUAGUC